AUUGAACGCUGGCGGCAUGCCUUACACAUGCAAGUCGAACGGCAGCACGGGAGCAAUCCUGGUGGCGAGUGGCGGACGGGUGAGUAAAGUAUCGGAACGUGCCCAGUCGUGGGGGAUAACGUAGCGAAAGUUACGCUAAUACCGCAUACGAUCUAUGGAUGAAAGCGGGGGAUCGCAAGACCUCGCGCGAUUGGAGCGGCAGAUAUCAGAUUAGGUAGUUGGUGGGGUAAAGGCUCACCAAGCCGACGAUCUGUAGCUGGUCUGAGAGGACGACCAGCCACACUGGGACUGAGACACGGCCCAGACUCCUACGGGAGGCAGCAGUGGGGAAUUUUGGACAAUGGGCGAAAGCCUGAUCCAGCCAUGCCGCGUGCAGGAUGAAGGCCUUCGGGUUGUAAACUGCUUUUGUACGGAACGAAAAGGUUUGGCCUAAUAAGCUGAGCUCAUGACGGUACCGUAAGAAUAAGCACCGGCUAACUACGUGCCAGCAGCCGCCGUAA
Molecule: ribosomal RNA, 500 nt
Filed under: uncultured bacterium
Lineage: Bacteria
Description: partial 16S ribosomal RNA
Rfam family: Bacterial small subunit ribosomal RNA
Source: RNAcentral